CCCUUAGAUGUUCUGGGCCGCACGCGUGCUACACUGAGUGGAUCAGCGGGUCAGGUUGCGCGAAAGCGUUUCCUAAUCUUUAAAUCCGCUCGUGAUGGGGAUUGACGGUUGCAAUUUUCUGUCAUGAACGAGGAAUACCUUGUAAGCGCGGGUCAUCAUCCCGCGCUGAAUACGUCCCUGCCCUUUGUACACACCGCCCGUCGCUCCUACCGAUUGAAUGAUCCGAUGAAUACCAUGGAUUGAGAGUACGAAUAGGUUCGCUUAUUCCUGCUGCUCGAGAAGUGGAGUAAAUCUUAUCAUUUAGAGGAAGGAGAAGUCGUAACA
This 324-nucleotide ribosomal RNA is filed under the name uncultured eukaryote. Its description in RNAcentral is "partial 18S ribosomal RNA". It matches the Rfam family "Eukaryotic small subunit ribosomal RNA", at positions 1470 to 1796 of the family's 1831-position model. The record is from RNAcentral.